Molecule: ribosomal RNA, 497 nt
Filed under: uncultured bacterium
Lineage: Bacteria
Description: partial 16S ribosomal RNA
Rfam family: Bacterial small subunit ribosomal RNA
Source: RNAcentral
GAUGAACGCUGGCGGCGUGCCUAAUACAUGCAAGUCGAGCGAACAGACGAGGAGCUUGCUCCUUUGACGUUAGCGGCGGACGGGUGAGUAACACGUAGGUAACCUACCUAUAAGACUGGGAUAACUUCGGGAAACCGGAGCUAAUACCGGAUAAUAUUUCGAACCGCAUGGUUCGAUAGUGAAAGAUGGCUUUGCUAUCACUUAUAGAUGGACCUGCGCCGUAUUAGCUAGUUGGUAAGGUAACGGCUUACCAAGGCAACGAUGCGUAGCCGACCUGAGAGGGUGAUCGGCCACACUGGAACUGAGACACGGUCCAGACUCCUACGGGAGGCAGCAGUAGGGAAUCUUCCGCAAAGGGCGAAAGCCUGACGGAGCAACGCCGCGUGAGUGAUGAAGGUCUUCGGAUCGUAAAACUCUGUUAUUAGGGAAGAACAAACGUGUAAGUAACUGUGCACGUCUUGACGGUACCUAAUCAGAAAGCCACGGCUAACUACGUG